RNAcentral lists this signal recognition particle RNA (266 nucleotides) under Chloroflexota bacterium. RNAcentral's name for it is "signal recognition particle sRNA large type". It matches the Rfam family "Bacterial large signal recognition particle RNA". Rfam says of the family: The signal recognition particle (SRP) is a universally conserved ribonucleoprotein involved in the co-translational targeting of proteins to membranes. Archaeal SRP consists of a 7S RNA and homologues of the eukaryotic SRP19 and SRP54 proteins. The record is from RNAcentral. Lineage: Bacteria; Bacillati; Chloroflexota.
UCGUGCUAGGAGGGGAACUAGCGGUGCCCUGUAUCCGCAAUCCGCUGUAGCGGGGCCGAAUUCCCGGUCGAGGUCCUUUCCAUCCGACUACCAUCGUCGUCUGCCGACGUCGAUAGCCGGGUCCCACGCAGCGAGACGCCGCGAACCCCGUCAGGUCCGGAAGGAAGCAGCGGUAAACGGAGAGUCUCGGGUGCCGUGGGGCGACCUGGCUGGAGCCGGUGGACACGGUCCGUUCGGGUGGUGGGUGAUCGAAACCGGGUGCACGA